Polistes dominula (European paper wasp) is the source of this 1403-nucleotide long non-coding RNA. RefSeq lists it as uncharacterized. Lineage: Eukaryota; Metazoa; Arthropoda; Insecta; Hymenoptera; Vespidae. The record is from RefSeq and is a predicted model, not a curated record.
GAUAAAUGUAUUUGUAGUAAGUAAAGAAUAAUAAAAGAUGCUCUUAUAUGGGAUAAUAUAAUAUUGAGUAUGGAAGUUGUACGAUUAUGUGUAAGAUCGUUUUCAGUAGUAAAAGUCCAGGAGAACAGCGCAACGUGGGUUAUUAAGAAAAAAGGAAACGACGAAAGGCAAAAGACUACCUCGGUCGUAGUAAGCAAAAGAAGGAAAAUCGUGCCAGGGGAGACUGGAUGAGGGACAGAAAGAGAAAGAGAAAGAGUAAGAGAGAAAGUGAGAAAAGGGAUAGUAAGAGGAAAGAGAAGCCAGCACAAGGAAGGAUAAAGUUUCGCUUUACUCACAUUAUUUCCGCCAGGAAACGCGUUUUCGCGUUAUAUCCACUGUCGUUUCUUUAUACGUUUGAGUUGUUUCACAGCUGCGGUGUUGGUCCUCGCUUUUACAGGCCUUCAUCUUUUUUUUUCUUUCUUUUUUUCUCUUUCUCUCUAUCUUUCCCUCUCUUUCUCUCUUUCUUUAUUUUACUCUUUCUAUUUCACCCUCUUACACUAUCUUUCUUUUUAUUUUUUACUGUAAAUUGAUCCCCCUUGGCAAUCUCGUGUCUUUUUUCUCGCACGAGGAAAUAAGACAGAGGGAUGAACGUGCUGACGUCGACAAGAGGAAAGACUUCGACGUGUAGAGAAUUAAAAGUCCAACUAUUCAGAAGGACGAAUUAAGUAAAUGUGCAAGUGUUAUACAAUCAACCGUUGGAGAUAUUAAUUAUUGCAAUAUAUUAAUUGAACGUUUUUUUCUCACUUUUUAUUAGAGCUAAUAUUUUAUUUUUGUAGGUAUUGUGGCUGUGACUUUUUAUUAAUUCAUUUAAUAAUCGUUUAUUGACCGAAAUCGAUAAAUCCAAUACUUUGUCAUUAAAAUUAUUUGACUAUUUUUUCAUUAUAGCAAACAACGAUUGAACGAAAUUCGAUUAAGAUUUUUAUCAGAAGGAUUUCGAAAUUUUUGAUUAUUUCUAAAUUGCGAGAAAAUAAGUAAGUGUAAAAGUAAGACAGUAAUAUUAAAAAGUCGAAGUUACAAUCUUCUACAAAUCAGUUUUUCUUCCUCAAAAAAAAAAAAAGAACGUAGGUAUCCAUCGUAAUAAUCUUUAGAUAAGAUAAAAGAAAUCAGUUCUGCAAUGGAAGCUUAGUUAUAUCCUUCCUACUAUAAUUGUAACUUUACUAUCUUACGUAAAUUUUACAACCCUUGAUUUCCAUGCAUAAACACGAGAGGAAAAAGUCGUACUUUAAAAAACUUCUCGAUUUUUCGAAUUACAAUGUCUGCUAAGGGUUAAAAUAGUCAAUUCAAUUGGUUCUUCUCAUCUUAUAUACGAUAAAUAAAACCCGCAAGACAUCGAGAUAAAUCAGAUUAGCAUCGAAUCUUUAAAU